CCUACGGGUGGCACCAGUGGGGAAUAUUGCACAAUGGGCGCAAGCCUGAUGCAGCCAUGCCGCGUGUGUGAAGAAGGCUUUCGGGUUGUAAAGCACUUUCAGCGGGGAGGAAGGCGUUAAGGUUAAUAACCUCAUCGAUUGACGUUACCCGCAGAAGAAGCACCGGCUAACUCCGUGCCAGCAGCCGCGGUAAUACGGAGGGUGCAAGCGUUAAUCGGAAUUACUGGGCGUAAAGCGCACGCAGGCGGUCUGUCAAGUCGGAUGUGAAAUCCCCGGGCUCAACAUGGGAACUGCAUUCGAAACUGGCAGGCUAGAGUCUUGUAGAGGGGGGUAGAAUCCCAGGUGUAGCGGUGAAAUGCGUAGAGAUCUGGAGGAAUACCGGUGGCGAAGGCGGCCCCCUGGACAAAGACUGACGCUCAGGUGCGAAAGCGUGGGGAGCAAACAGGAUUAGAUACCCGGGUAGUC
RNAcentral lists this ribosomal RNA (465 nucleotides) under uncultured bacterium. RNAcentral describes it as "bacterial SSU rRNA". It matches the Rfam family "Bacterial small subunit ribosomal RNA", at positions 338 to 795 of the family's 1533-position model. The record is from RNAcentral.